AGCCUACGGGGGGCAGCAGUCGGGAAUAUUGCGCAAUGGAGGAAACUCUGACGCAGUGACGCCGCGUGCAGGAAGAAGGUUUUCGGAUUGUAAACUGCUUUAGACAGGGAAGAAACAAGACAGUACCUGUAGAAUAAGCUCCGGCUAACUACGUGCCAGCAGCCGCGGUAAUACGGAGGAUGCGAGCGUUAUCCGGAUUUAUUGGGUUUAAAGGGUGCGUAGGCGGAAUAUCAAGUCAGCGGUAAAAAUUCGGGGCUCAACCCCGUCGUGCCGUUGAAACUGAUGUUCUUGAGUGGGCGAGAAGU
Molecule: ribosomal RNA, 305 nt
Filed under: uncultured bacterium
Lineage: Bacteria
Description: bacterial SSU rRNA
Rfam family: Bacterial small subunit ribosomal RNA
Source: RNAcentral